CAACCAGGCACCAUCUUGGAAGCAGAGACCAGGCCCUCACCAGACACCAAACCUGCCAGCAUCUUGAUCUUGGACCUCUCAGCCUCCAAAGCUAUGGAGCCCCACUCUGUUGCCCAGACUGGAGUGCAGUGGCGUGAUCUCGGCUCACCGCAACUUCCGCCUCCCGGGUUCAAGUGAUUCUCCUGCCUCAGCCUUCCAACUAGCUGGGAUUGCAGGUGCCUGCCACCUCUCCCUGCUAAUUUUUGUAUUUUUAGUAGAGACAAGAUUUCACCAUGUUGGCCAGGCUGGUCUCAAACUCCCGACCUCAAGUGAUCCACCUGCCUCAGCCUCCCAAAGUGCUGGGAUUACCAGCGUGAGCCACCGCGCUUGGCUUAAAUAUUAUUUAAUACAUGUUAAAAUAUAUGAGCAUUUUAAGAAAGCCAUAAUUUUCAGCAAACUAACACAGGAACAGAAAAGUGAACACUGCAUGUUCUCACUCAUAAGUGGGAGCUGAACAAUAAGAACACAUGGACACAGGGAGCAUCACAAACUGGGGCCUGUUGAUGUGUGGAGGCAAGGGGAGGGAGAGCAUUAGGACAAAUACCUAAUGCAUUCGGGGCUUAAAACCUAGGUGAUGGGUUGAUAGGUGCAGCAAACCACCAUGGCACAAGUAUGCCUAUGUAACAAACCUGCACAUUCUGCACAUGUAUCCCAGCACUUAAAGCAAAAUAAAAAUUAAACAAUUUUAAAAAAAUAUAUGGACAUUUAAAUAAUUUAAAUAUGCUAUGCAAAAGUGCUUAAUAUGUUAAAUUGGCAUAAUUUAUUAGCAUAAUAAAAAUUAUUUUUCACAUUUUAAGUAUAUUUAUACUAGAUGCAGUGAUAUAUAUAAU
This 869-nucleotide long non-coding RNA is filed under the name Homo sapiens (human). Its description in RNAcentral is "non-protein coding lnc-SEL1L-8:1". Lineage: Eukaryota; Metazoa; Chordata; Mammalia; Primates; Hominidae. The record is from RNAcentral.